GAUGAACGCUGGCGGCGUGCCUAAUACAUGCAAGUCGAGCGAACAGACGAGGAGCUUGCUCCUCUGACGUUAGCGGCGGACGGGGGAGUAACACGUGGAUAACCUACCUAUAAGACUGGGAUAAUUUCGGGAAACCGGAGCUAAUACCGGAUAAUAUAUUGAACCGCAUGGUUCAAUAGUGAAAGACGGUUUUGCUGUCACUUAUAGAUGGAUCCGCGCCGCAUCAGCUAGUUGGUAAGGUAACGGCUUACCAAGGCAACGAUGCGUAGCCGACCUGAGAGGGUGAUCGGCCACACUGGAACUGAGACACGGUCCAGACUCCUACGGGAGGCAGCAGUAGGGAAUCUUCCGCAAUGGGCGAAAGCCUGACGGAGCAACGCCGCGUGAGUGAUGAAGGUCUUCGGAUCGUAAAACUCUGUUAUUAGGGAAGAACAAAUGUGUAAGUAACUAUGCACGUCUUGACGGUACCUAAUCAGAAAGCCACGGCUAACUACGUG
Molecule: ribosomal RNA, 497 nt
Filed under: uncultured bacterium
Lineage: Bacteria
Description: partial 16S ribosomal RNA
Rfam family: Bacterial small subunit ribosomal RNA
Source: RNAcentral